Molecule: long non-coding RNA, 6850 nt
Organism: Gallus gallus (chicken)
Lineage: Eukaryota; Metazoa; Chordata; Aves; Galliformes; Phasianidae
Source: Ensembl
GACAGGAGUGUCACUCCGGAAGCCUUUAUUUUGAUGUUGUUUUGUAUAUCCUGCAUUAAAACCUAGAGAGAGAGGAACCUAGAGAGUUCCAGAGAGGAAUAGGUCUACGUCUGAGGUCUGUUUGAGUAAGGACUAAGGCAGGAAUCUGAGAUUUGGACUGCCAUGAAGGGAAAAGAGUACCAGCACUGAGAAAAUUAUAGAAGCACAGGACAGCUGAGGCUGGCAGGGCCCUCUGGGUCCCUCUGCUCCAACCCCUGACCCAGCAGGGACACCCAGAGCAGGGUGCCCAGGGCCACAUCCAGGUGGCUCUGGGAGAUCCCCAAGGAGGCAGAUUCCAUAAAUAAGCAUUACUGCACUAACUGUGUUGGUGUCCAUGUGUUUUAUAUUUAUCUGGUAUUUGGGGCAGGUGAGUACCCCGGGUGUCACACGAAAUCUCCCCACCACCAGUCAGAUGCAAUCCCCAUGCAUCACUCACAACACCAUUGGGCAGAGAUGUUCCCAGAUGUGGACAGGGACCACCUUCCCCAAAGCCACGUUUAGCAACCCCCAGGGGCACAGUAGUAUUAAAAAUACUAUUGCACACAAGAAUGUGGGAGAGCCCUGAGAGAGCAGAACUGUAACCAUGGGUGCAUUACUAACGCCUCACUCCUACACAGGCCAGAUCUUACUCAGCAAACACGGUAUUCACACAGGCAGCUCACUCAACAAAGCUGGAAAAAGCUCUUACAGCUACGAGAAGAACUCGUGUAAUUUCCAUGGCUGUGAAUCAGGACGUCUUCAUUCUUGUGGCAUGUUUUUCACUUUUAUGAACACUAAUUUCGCUGCAUUUUCGGAGCGGUGACUUUAGCCACAGCGUGGCUGCUGCGAAGUUCCCACGGCUACCAGUAGGACUUUUAUGUGGGAAAUCUGUGGGCAGCAGGGAGCCUCCCUGCUUGUAUCAAUAGGAACUUCCCAAGCGCCUCAGACUGACAUUUUCUCAGCCCGGGAUCGGAGCACACAUGCUCUCAUUUAGAGCUCCCUUCUCCGAAGCUGAAGGACAUGUGUGAUCAUUUUAGCUCCGGCAAUUUUCUAGCAGGCCUUUUGCACACAGAGGAAUCCUGCGCAAAUGGGUUUUUUCCUCUUCAGCCAGCAGAAACCCCAUCCUGCAAACUGCUGAGCAGGGCACCGAGGGGUGAACACAGGAGAUGCCAGCCAGGGCCACGUUGACCCCAGGCCCCCAUCAUGUUGAAGACCACGGAGGAAGCAUAUCAGAGUCCUACCAGUGUGGAUGCUGCAUUGCAGACCUCCCCUCACAAACUUUCUGAAUUUUGGGGUGCACAGAGCAUCCCUCCAGUGUGCCUCAACACCACAGAGACAUCAGUUUUCCUUCUUUCUAUGCGUCUGCUGGGGCUGUCAGGCCACCACCAGCAGUCAUCCUGUCCCACAAGAGUUUCCCAGCCUUUCGCAUCACAGCCAUGCAUUCCAGAGAUGACCAGACACAUAAAUACGUCUUCUGUGCUUGCACACUGGAAGACUUUCUGCAGCUGGAUAAUAAGAGCAUGUUAAAAGCAUAUAUAUUGUCUCCACCAGUCAAAAAAAAAAAAGAAAAAAAAAGAAAAAAAAGGUUGAAUUUUUGUUCUCAGAAGACAGAAAUGCAGUGGGAGGGCAACGGGCAAGUUGUACAGCUUUGGAUUUAUUAAAGAUAAUAUAUUGCAGGGAAAAAUCAGCUGUGGUGGGACACUGUGUUUACUGGAUGUUUAGAGAAGACCACACAACCCACAAACACGACAGGACCACGCUCAAUGAUCGUAUCUCACUAUCGCUUCCUAUUUGCAGAACUGUAAUUGUGGGAAUUCUUAAGGUCCAUAAUCACUAAAAAUGGAUAUCUGAACUCAGAAACCAGGGAGGCAGAAGCCCUCAAGGAAUUGUUUUCCACUUCGGUAGAAACAAAAAGGCUGAAUUCUUUGUCAAUGAGAGAUGGCCCAGUUUUGCAGCUUUAGGUUUGGUAGAAGAAACACCUGGCUGCCUAUCAGUAACAGGGCAGAGUCUGAUGAGAACAGAGGACAGAGAUUGUCACUCAUUUAUCAUGUGUAAGGAUUUCAUUGAUGCACGUCAUUCCAGGCAAGCUAAAUGCAAAAGAGGUCUCAAAGUGAUUCUUUUCUAAAAUCUGUGUGAAAAUAAUCAACAGAACAGGAGAAAAUAAACACAUGAUGUCUACAGGCACCCCAAUUGACAGCAGGGCUGUGGUGUGAACCAAUGUCAUUAUGUUACCAAGAUCACUGCAGGGGGAAGGAGCCAUAAUGUUUCAACACAGAGAAUGGCAUCAACAACAGCUUGUGCUCACCCAUUAUACAAACCCAUGGCACUCCAGUAGUCGUGAUGUUUGAGCAAUCCCUUAUUGUCAUGAAGAGCACGUUCACAGAAUCACUGAAUCAUUAUGGUUGGAAAAGACCACUGCCUGGUCCAACCAUCAACCCAUCACCACCAUGGCCACUAAGCCAUGUCACUCGUGUCCAGAGUAUGGAGCUGGAGAUGGGGUUUUGCUGGUGAGAGGAGCUAAAAAAUGAGAAAUGUGCCAAAGAAAAUGAGGAAGCAGCAAAAAUGAGAUAAAAGAUGGAAGAGAGCAGAAGGUCAACAGGUUGGUCUCUGCAAAACUUGUAAAGGCUUCUUGGUGUCGAGUCAUGUGAAGGGAAAGUGGGUGGCUCUUGAGACACAGUAAAAAUGAGAAUUAACUCACCUACUAAAUUCUCAGUCAUCUUCCUCUUACAACCACUGCCAGGAAGUCUGAUUAAUCAGUCUAAGCUUAAAUAGAACAAAAAAAGAGAAAAUACUAUGCAGUGUGACUGGUCCAUGAGGAAACCAUGAAUUUGCUCUUUUAGUAAUUAAAAGUGACCCAGCAGGUUUUCCAGAGCAAUCAUCUCUCAUUCGGAGAAUAAAAUGUUCUCCACCCAUGUACAUGGAAUCUACUGCAUUCUCUACCCAGAUAAUCACAUUGUUUUGCCCACUUGGAUGAAGUUUCAUUUUUGUGAGGUGGUUCCCCAGGUACCACUUAUUUUUCUGCUGAGAAAGUAUGAGUAAAAUUAUUCCAAUGAUGGAAAAGUAGAAAUGCUUUAACUACCUAGUUGGUCAUCUUCUGCAGAUUUCUAUGGAAGAAAAAAAGAAGUUCAUUGCCACUGCCAACGUGAGAUGCAUAUUUUGCUGAGUAUGACUAUGGCUGACAAAGUUUCCACCCCGAGUACAGUGCAGUGGAGACAGGCCUCACAGGUUUGUGUUUGACGUCUUGCUGUACAAAACCCGUGUACUUGUACAGCUCAGCUUGUGCUGCAUCAGCUUUGACUUUCAAAGCCAGAUUUCUACGUGUCUUCACCUUUGGAUAUUUUUAAUGCAUCUACUUCACUGAAUGGGAGAAAUAUCAUCAAUAUCUGUGUCUCAAGAGGUCUCCUCCAGAUCAUGCGUGAGACGUGGCUCUCAAGGCACUGUGUGGGGAAAGGUUCCACCACAUUUAAUCCCCUGGAGUACUUCUUCACGCAAGUCAGUGAGAGUAAAUCCAGUGCAAAAUGAGCAGAGGAGGCAGAAAUGAGUCUGCAGGCAAAACCCCAGUGAGUCAAAGCAUCGCUCAGCGACGACAUCAAAUUGUGCUGGUAGAGGUGAGGCAGCACAAAUGCCGUGAGGAAGGUUGGGGCUCGUUAGUGUCUGUGAGGGUUUCUUUCAGACAUGAGCACAGUCUGAAAUCUGAAGUCCAUAAAAACCUUUCAGUCACUCUGGAUUUGGCUCUAAGAGAGAAGAGAAGGUUCUGGCGUUGAGUUUGAACAUACCAGAGCAACUCAAGCCAUUGAACUGGUGGCAAUGUCACAGUGGAAAGAAAAAGGAAGCAGAACUGAAGAAACUUCUGAGAAAUGUAAAAACCAGUUAACUGGACAGGAAUUGAACAAGUCAUCAAGCAUUAUGGGAAGAGGCUGGUUCCUAAAGGUAUGUCCCAUGCAGCCUUUCUGUUUAUAAAGUUUGUAUCAGCACUCCAGUAAUCACACCUGGGCAUUCAGGGCUGGAACUAGAUGAUCUUUGAGGUCCCUUCCAACCCAAGUCGUUCUAUGAUCCAUGUCAUUCUAUAAGGAUUAGGCUACUGGACAAGAGAUAACAUAUACUUUAACACUGUCUGCAAAUGAAAGACGUCAUGGACUUAAGAAACUGCACAUCUUUGUUACAUAACAAUACAACUAAAAACAAAUAAUGUAUUACUUCAUAUGGCCAUCUACUGAAUUUCAUAUCAAGACUAAUUUCAUGUCCAAAAUCACUAGCCUUCGCCUGCUAUCAGAUAGACAAAAGAGAAAUUAGCACUCUCUUUUUCAUGUUUCAGAACAAAAGCACAAGCUUUGAAGCGCUGCCUUUGUGAAAGAAACAGUUGUGGCCUGCUAAAACAAGCUUGUGGUAAUGAAAAGGUUAACUAAUUUGGUUUCCCUGAUAAGUUUAUCUAUGAUCAGAACUGAGUCAUACAGAAAAUACUCCUACAAGAUUUGACCUUUUACUUGUAUCCCACACUGAGAUAAUAUUAUACUUAAAAUGGAUAUCAAUAAGAACUUUGUUUUAAAAACUAUAUUUAAAAUAAAUUACUUUUAAAUAACAGAAACUGUUUUCAAUUAGCCCUGUUAAAGGAAAUCAACUAGAAAGUUAUGUAUGCUUUUUUAUUUUCUUUAUAUAAAUUAUACCCAGGAGUCCUAUGAUAGCAGCACUAUACAAACUAUGCACUACCUUUAUAUUUAUUUCUUAUCAAAAUAAACUUAACAAAUUAGAUUUGUUUUUACAGCACUUUAUAUCCAAUAAUGACAAUGUUGUAUUGGUCCCAGGAUAAAAACAAUGAAAGUAGCAGCUGAAUGGUAUUUUUAUUAAGAGUUAACAAAAAUGUCCUGUGCAAACACAGGGUAUAAAGAAAAUUAAUUCCAUAAUUCCUUAUGAUGAAGGCGUCCCUCCCUCUUCCCUUUUUUUCUCACAAUAUCAAUCUCAUUUGGAAAGAUCGUUUUAAGGGGAAAACUUUAAGUUUUAGCAUGACUUACUCAGCAAAAUGAUAUAGCUGAACUUAAACACUGCUGACUGCUACGAUUUAAUAUUAGGACCUGGCAAAUGCUUUGAUAACUUAAUACUUUUUAAAAGAAAACUUGUUUGUUACCGAAGAUUUUGGGAGCUCAGAAGAAAUAUAAUCUGAAAAAAUAACAGAGCUAAAGAUCCAAAGAGAGGUUUCUUCUUUUUCCCAUUUUUUCCAUUUCCUUUACCUUGAGCUGGUUCCUCCAUGUGAGCACAUUCAGAGGCCUUUUACUGGUGGCAGAUUCAAAUAUCUCUGAGAUACUCACCGUACAAACUCAGCAAGAGUCCACGUUUUCCUCCAGCAGUGGAAAAAUGGCAGGGCUAAUAGUCUGGGCUUUGUUACUAAAAAUGAGUCCUUAAACUAAAAAAAAAUAAAAUAAAAAAAUAAAAAUUAAAACAUUGUUUAGAACAUGUGGUUUGCUGCUAUUAAGCUAACAGUGGAAAAUCUCAUUACUUUUAAUUUUAUUUUGUAGUGGGAUUGUUUUGUAGACUGAGGCGAAUUUUCUCUUAAGCAGAGCCUCCCCUCCUACCUUGCAGCAUUCUACUCUGCAGGCAGCCCUUUGCACGGCUCGCCUCGGUGUUUCAGGUCAAAGUGCUGAAUUAAAAAAAGAAAACAGAUCUUUCCCCAUGUGUGCCUCUCGCGUGCCAGCCUCUCCAGCUCUUGCUCUGACAGAGGAGUGUUCCACCCUGGGCUGGGGGUGUUCUCCAUGCAGUGCUAGGAACGUAUCUGCUCCGACUGAAAGCUCCACAGGGGCAAAUAAGGCGUCAGAUAGAUCCUGAUGUCACCUCUAUGCAGGAAGCCCUGUGAAGAAGCAAGAUGGGUGGGUGGAAUUUGGAUUCUGGAGCUCAAAGUGGCCAGAGUAGAAAAGAGAAGAUUGUAAAGGUUUCUGCAUUGGAUUUCUUGCCAAAGUUUGGAAGCCUCUCAUCUGACUUCUGACUUCGGAUUGAGGCUACAAUGAUUUACAAGAACAGAGGACCAAAUGUGCAAUUUGAAGUGAAAAUAUUGCCAAGGCAGAAGCCUUGCUCAGAGCUUAAAAGCUUCUAUAUACACACAUAUGUAUAUCCGACUUACUGUGACUCAAAUCUGAAACUCUUAUGGUUUAAAAUACCAAGUGAGAUUCAGGGUCACAUAAUAUUUGCUUUCCGUCAACAGCCCAGUGGAUUUCCCUGUAACAUAUGCUUGCACAUGACAAGGCUCACUCUUGUGCAGAGGUGAGCCAUUAUAUUGUAAAUUCCACUUGCAAUACAAUCCUUAUGUAACCCAGAUAUCCUUAUAUUUUCAAGUUCAGCCAUUCCCCUGGCACUCAGCACUUUUCCAGGUCCUGGUUCGUCAUGAGAAUUUGACAUCUGCUUCCUGAAUAAAAAAAAUAUACGCACAUCAGAUCACUGAUGAUCAGAUACUAUAUUUCUUUUGAACAUCUCUCUAGUCCUCAGUUCUUAACAAAGCUGCCAGAGGCUGAGCUCUACAUCCAGAUGAUGACUCACCCAGCCUCACUGCUGCCAGGGCCUCGCUUUUCCAUCAGCGGUCAUUCUGGGAGCUCAGGAGGCUUCCAGUAUGGGACAUCCUGACUGGUAAGGAAUCACGGGUGAACUGUCCAUCCUGUCACACUGAGCAGAAAGUUUGCUACUGAUUUCAAAGAACUGAGAUUUUUACCCACAGGAAAUCAAGCACGUAUAAAGAUCACCGCCCAGCUCUUCAGCAGCCCUCCAUCCAGAGGAUGAGUCAUCUGCCAGCAGAACAGAAGGGCACUGGUGGGAGCUCUAUUCCAAAGAGCAUGCAAAGAAUUAGAGGAAC